AGAUCCCUGCCUACCUGAGGUCUGCUGAAGGCUGGAUUCUGAGCAGCACAUGAAAGCAAAAGGCACCAUGUCUCAGGACCACCUGGUUUCUUUGCCUAUCCCAGCCCAUUUUGGAAUGCCAGAACAAACACUCCUUAAACAAUCUAAAUUCACUUACCUGGGAGCCCAUGUCAGGAAGCAGGUGCCUUGUGUUGAACCCCCUAAAGAGGCAAACAGGAGACAUAUGUGCCCUGAGCACAGAAACUGCUCUGCCAUGCCCUUUACUCAGCUGUACCACCUGGACCAUACCCAUCUUCAGGAUGCUCUCCUACACAUCUGAGUUCCAUAUCAGGAUUAUGGCAGAGUCCCACAGAUCUGUAUUCCUUUAAAUGUAGGCAUUUUUCUGGAGUGUGGCUUAAAAUUGUACUUCCCAUAGAUUAGACUCACAAAUACAAUGCUGCUUUGUGACCUCCAACCGCCUUCAGAUGGUUUUCUCUCUACAGGCAGCAUCUUCUGCAUCUCUACUGCAAAAUCUUUGACUCACCUACUUUAUGCUGGUAUAUUUGCUGAGCAAAAUGAAAAGCAUGCAGUGGCUGUUUAGCGUUGUCCUUAUUUCUUUGUGAAGAACAAGCUUAUUAUUGCUUAGUAUUAUGUAACUACUAAUUAAAGAGCCAGCCCUUUAUGAGGAGCAGAGCAGGGCCAUGGACUUCAUAUGGGUCUGGGAGCAGCAGGGCUGGGGCAGGUCAGUAUGGACGUGGCUGGAAGAGCUGCUCAGGACACAGAGAUUUAGGAGACUUCAGGAGAAGAGACCCAUUGUGCUCAGUGCUGGGAAAUGGAAUAGGACAGGAACUUCGUUGAGAGCCCUUCUGCAACAACAUGGAAACACCCUCAUUAGGAGAGCUGGCUUGCAGGAGGGCUAUCCGAUCUGUGCCAUGUGCCUGUGAUUAUCCCCUUGACAAAAAAAUGUUCCUGCUAAUCCCCAG
Molecule: long non-coding RNA, 962 nt
Filed under: Gallus gallus (chicken)
Lineage: Eukaryota; Metazoa; Chordata; Aves; Galliformes; Phasianidae
Description: lncRNA (ENSGALG00010012901.1)
Source: RNAcentral